Molecule: ribosomal RNA, 352 nt
Filed under: uncultured bacterium
Lineage: Bacteria
Description: bacterial SSU rRNA
Rfam family: Bacterial small subunit ribosomal RNA
Source: RNAcentral
GGGCCCGCACAAGCGGUGGAGCAUGUGGUUUAAUUCGAUGAUACGCGAGGAACCUUACCAGGGCUUAAAUGGGAAAUGACAGGGGCAGAGACGCCCCCUUCUUCGGACAUUUUUCAAGGUGCUGCAUGGUUGUCGUCAGCUCGUGCCGUGAGGUGUCAGGUUAAGUCCUAUAACGAGCGCAACCCCUACCGUUAGUUGCCAGCGUGUAAUGACGGGGACUCUAACGGAACUGCCGGUGCAAACCGUGAGGAAGGUGGGGACGACGUCAAGUGCCUCAUGGCCCUUACGGGUUGGGCUACACACGUGCUACAAUGGUAGUGACAAUGGGUUAAUCCCAAAAAGCUAUCUCAGU